GAGUUUGAUCGUGGCUCAGGAUGAACGCUGGCGGCGUGCCUAACACAUGCAAGUCGAACGGAUCCAUAUUGAAACCUAGUGAUGUAUGGAUUAGUGGCGGACGGGUGAGUAACGCGUGGAUAACCUGCCGUAUACAGGGGAUAACACUUAGAAAUAGGUGCUAAUACCGCAUAAGCGCACGGUUCCGCAUGGAACAGUGUGAAAAACUCCGGUGGUAUACGAUGGAUCCGCGUCUGAUUAGCCAGUUGGCGGGGUAACGGCCCACCAAAGCGACGAUCAGUAGCCGGCCUGAGAGGGUGAACGGCCACAUUGGGACUGAGACACGGCCCAAACUCCUACGGGAGGCAGCAGUGGGGAAUAUUGCACAAUGGGGGAACCCUGAUGCAGCGACGCCGCGUGAGUGAAGAAGUAUCUCGGUACGUAAAGCUCUAUCAGCAGGGAAGAAAAUGACGGUACCUGACUAAG
RNAcentral lists this ribosomal RNA (465 nucleotides) under uncultured microorganism. RNAcentral's name for it is "bacterial SSU rRNA". It matches the Rfam family "Bacterial small subunit ribosomal RNA", at positions 9 to 487 of the family's 1533-position model. The record is from RNAcentral.